RNAcentral lists this ribosomal RNA (345 nucleotides) under uncultured bacterium. RNAcentral's name for it is "bacterial SSU rRNA". It matches the Rfam family "Bacterial small subunit ribosomal RNA", at positions 1065 to 1381 of the family's 1533-position model. The record is from RNAcentral.
UCCACGCCCUAAACGAUGAACACUAGUCGUCGGGAUGUUGGGUUAAGUCCCGCAACGAGCGCAACCCUCGUCCUUAGUUGCCAGCAGGUUAAGCUGGGCACUUUAAGGAGACUGCCUUCGUAAGGAGGAGGAAGGUGAGGACGACGUCAAGUCAUCAUGGCCCUUAUGGCUAGGGCUACACACGUGCUACAAUGGGGCGUACAGAGAGUUGCGAUACCGCGAGGUGGAGCCAAUCUCAUAAAGCGUCUCUCAGUUCGGAUAGCAGUCUGCAACUCGACUGCUUGAAGCUGGAAUCACUAGUAAUCGUAGAUCAGCAAUGCUACGGUGAAUACGUUCCCGGGUUUG